GCCCAGCUGAGGCCUGUCUGCAGAAUCGACACCAACCAGCAUCAUGUCCAUGACACUGGGGUACUGGGACAUCCGCGGGCUGGCCCACGCCAUCCGCCUGCUCCUGGAAUACACAGACUCAAGCUACGAGGAAAAGAAGUACACGAUGGGGGACGCUCCUGACUAUGACAGAAGCCAGUGGCUGAAUGAAAAAUUCAAGCUGGGCCUGGACUUUCCCAAUGGGAUGCUGGGGAGCCUGGUGGCCCAACUGAGCUUCCCCGGUUUCCCAUCUAUCCAGCUGCCCUACUUGAUUGAUGGGGCUCACAAGAUCACCCAGAGCAACGCCAUCCUGCGCUACAUUGCCCGCAAGCACAACCUGUGUGGGGAGACAGAAGAGGAGAAGAUUCGUGUGGACAUUUUGGAGAAUCAGGCUAUGGACGUCUCCAAUCAGCUGGCCAGAGUCUGCUACAGCCCUGACUUUGAGAAACUGAAGCCAGAAUACUUGGAGGAACUUCCUACAAUGAUGCAGCACUUCUCACAGUUCCUGGGGAAGAGGCCAUGGUUUGUUGGAGACAAGAUCACCUUUGUAGAUUUCCUCGCCUAUGAUGUCCUUGACCUCCACCGUAUAUUUGAGCCCAAGUGCUUGGACGCCUUUCCAAAUCUGAAGGACUUCAUCUCCCGCUUUGAGGGCUUGGAGAAGAUCUCUGCCUACAUGAAGUCCAGCCGCUUCCUCCCAAAACCUCUGUACACAAGGGUGGCUGUCUGGGGCAACAAGUAAUGCCUUGAAGGCCAGGAGGUGGGAGUGAGGAGCCCAUACUCAGCCUGCUGCCCAGACUGUGCAGCGCAGCUGGACUCUGCAUCCCAGCACC
RNAcentral lists this small RNA (848 nucleotides) under Pan troglodytes (chimpanzee). RNAcentral's name for it is "processed transcript". Lineage: Eukaryota; Metazoa; Chordata; Mammalia; Primates; Hominidae. The record is from RNAcentral.